This 253-nucleotide ribosomal RNA is filed under the name uncultured bacterium. Its description in RNAcentral is "partial 16S ribosomal RNA". It matches the Rfam family "Bacterial small subunit ribosomal RNA", at positions 524 to 776 of the family's 1533-position model. The record is from RNAcentral.
UACGAAGGGGGCUAGCGUUGCUCGGAAUCACUGGGCGUAAAGGGCGCGUAGGCGGCGUUUUAGGUCGGGGGUGAAAGCCUGUGGCUCAACCACAGAAUGGCCUUCGAUACUGGGACGCUUGAGUAUGGUAGAGGUUGGUGGAACUGCGAGUGUAGAGGUGAAAUUCGUAGAUAUUCGCAAGAACACCAGUGGCGAAGGCGGCUCACUGGCCCGGAACUGACGCUGAGGCGCGAAAGCGUGGGGAGCAAACAGG